GAUGAAGAACGCAGCGAAAUGCGAUAAGUAAUGUGAAUUGCAGAGUUUUGUGAAUCAUCGAGUCUUUGAACGCACAUUGCGCCCCCUGGUAUUCCGGGGGGCAUGCCUGUCCGAGCGUCAUUGCUGCCCUCAAGCACGGCUUGUGUGUUGGGCCUCCGCCCCCCGGCUCCCGGGGGGCGGGCCCGAAAGGCAGCGGCGGCACCGCGUCCGGUCCUCGAGCGUAUGGGGCUUCGUCACCCGCUCCGUAGGCCCGGCCGGCGCCCGCCGGCGACCCCCCUCAAUCUUUCCAGGUUGACCUCGGAUCAGGUAGGGAUACCCGCUGAACUUAAGCAUAUCAAUAAGCGGAGGA
RNAcentral lists this unclassified non-coding RNA (349 nucleotides) under soil metagenome. RNAcentral describes it as "partial contains 5.8S ribosomal RNA, internal transcribed spacer 2, and large subunit ribosomal RNA". The stretch from base 1 to 120 matches the Rfam family "5.8S ribosomal RNA", at positions 35 to 154 of the family's 154-position model. The record is from RNAcentral.